AAUAAGUGUAGUUUUUGCAUUGUUCAUAUCCAACGUUUGAUCAUUCGUCUUAUUUGAAUUUUUUUUAUGAUUAGUAUCUUUAUUGUUAUUAGAAGCUAAAACAUGAAUAGUACUUUACGUAUGACUAAUUUAUUUUAUUUAUUUUAUAAAUUUUUCAAAUAAGACAGACGGUCAAAUGUUGGACACGGAUUUCCACGGCUGCACUUAUU
Oryza rufipogon (brownbeard rice) is the source of this 209-nucleotide microRNA precursor. It matches the Rfam family "MIR812 microRNA precursor family". Lineage: Eukaryota; Viridiplantae; Streptophyta; Magnoliopsida; Poales; Poaceae. The record is from Rfam.